This 1406-nucleotide long non-coding RNA is filed under the name Salvia miltiorrhiza (redroot sage). RNAcentral describes it as "long non-coding RNA (SMIL_LNC000624)". The record is from RNAcentral. Lineage: Eukaryota; Viridiplantae; Streptophyta; Magnoliopsida; Lamiales; Lamiaceae.
CGUUUGGUCAUCUAUUCCGCAUGCUCGUCAUUAAACUAAUUAAGGCUAUUAUUAGAUUAUAACUUGUCAGGUCGUUGUCCCCUAAUUACAGAGUUGGAUUCUGUCCUCAUCAUCCCGCUCUGUCUAGUAGCUCUGGAUUUCCUUCCUUGGGGCAGACUUCUACUCUUUGGCUCCGCUCUGCUAAGUAGCUCCGCCUUCUGGCGAAUUGUCUCUGGCGUGUGGCUCCGCGCUCUAGCUCCAAUAGCUUAGCUCUGACUCUGGAUCUGGCGAUUUGGCUCUCGCUCUGACUCUAACGACUUAGCUCUGACUCUGGAUCUGGCGACUUGGCUCUGGCUCUCACUUUAAUGACUUAGCUCUGGUAGCUAUGCUCUGGCAACUUGGCUCUGGCCCUCUGCUCUGGAAGCUCUGCUCUGGUUAGCUCUGGCUCUGGCAGCUCUGCUCUGGAAGCUUUGCUCUGGCAUCUCUGCUCUGGUUAGCUCUGGCUCUGGCAUCUCUGCUCUGGCUAGCUCUGGCAUCUCUGCUCUGGCAGCUCUGCUCUGGCAACUCUGCUCUGGCAGCUCUGCUCUGGAAGCUUUGCUCUGCCAACUCUGCUCUGGUUAGCUAUGCUCUGGACUUUUCCCUCUGCCUAUUUCUCACAGCUUCUUUGCUCCCUGCUGCUCAUCUUUGGUAUUCCAAGCAAAGCCACGUGUCCUGAUCUUAGGACCUUGCAUAUUUCACCCCUCAUCAGAGUUGAUAAAACAUAUUGCUUCCAUGCAACAAUCACAACACGCUUGAUAGCAGAUGCCAAAAUUCUUUCCAAAAUUUGUUCUUUCUAAAAUAAUAAUCAUUCUAUAUUUAAAAUAGUGAAACACGUUAUUAAAUUAGGAAACUAAUUUAAUACUUACCAUAGGUGUGUAGGAAGAAUCAAGGCAGAUCGGGAAAUGGAGGUAUCAAAACAGAGAAGUCGUCGGUGGGGUGGGGGUCGACGGCACGGUGGACGAACUCCAGGGCUCAGCGGUGACUCGGCGGCGGACGAACCGCAAGCUCAGCGGCGACUAUUUCGCCGGAGUCUAGAAGAAGGAACGACAACGGGUUAUAGAAAAAAGAAAUCUUAGGACUCUUGUAUUAAUUGCUUCGAAUGGAGAAUUCUCAUGGGUUUAAGAAGUGGAAACAGAAUCGAACUAAUUAAGGAAUGGAAGAGGGAGUCAGAGAUGAGGCGGAGCAACGCCGCCCUUAGGACGACGACGACGCUUGAAUUUAGAGGGAGAGAGAGGCGGGCAGUUUAAGGGGGAAUUAGGGCUCGAUUUGAGUGUGCAAUCGACUUUAGAGAGAGAAAAUGAUUGAGAGAAGAGAGAGACAGUGAAGGGGGAGGCGACGCCGACUGAAUUCAGGGACGGCGGCGAUAGGGUGAGGAAGAGGGAGGCGUG